GAUGAACGCUAGCGGCAGGCCUAACACAUGCAAGUCGAGGGGGAAGUUACUUUCGGUGGACUGAGACCGUCGUACGGGUGCGUAACGCUUAUACAAUCUGCCUUUCACUGUGGGAUAGCCCUAAGAAAGUUGGAUUAAUACCCCAUAGGAUAUAUGUACUGCAUCGUUUUUUUAUUAAAUCUUAGGUGGUGAAAUAUGAGUAUGCGUUCUAUUAGCUACUUGGAGAGGUAACGGCUCCCCAAGGCGAUGAUAGAUAGGGGUUCGGAGAGGCAUGUCCCCCACAACGGUACUGCGAUACGGACCAGACUGCUACGGGAGGGAGCAGUGAGGAAUGUAGGACAAUGGUCGGAAGCAUGAUACAGCCAUGCCGCGUGCAGGAUGCAGGUGUUAUGGAUUGUAAACUGCUUUUGUAAGGGAAGAAUAAGGGCUACGCGUAGUUUGAUGACGGUACCUUACGAAUAAGCAUCGGCUAACUCCGUG
This 480-nucleotide ribosomal RNA is filed under the name uncultured bacterium. RNAcentral's name for it is "partial 16S ribosomal RNA". It matches the Rfam family "Bacterial small subunit ribosomal RNA", at positions 28 to 507 of the family's 1533-position model. The record is from RNAcentral.